This 229-nucleotide ribosomal RNA is filed under the name uncultured bacterium. RNAcentral describes it as "partial 16S ribosomal RNA". It matches the Rfam family "Bacterial small subunit ribosomal RNA", at positions 104 to 334 of the family's 1533-position model. The record is from RNAcentral.
CGGGGUGAGUAAUGUAUGGGGAUCUGCCUGAUGGCGGGGGAUAACUACUGGAAACGGUAGCUAAUACCGCAUAAUGUCUGCGGACCAAAGCGGGGGACCUCCGGGCCUCGCGCCAUCAGAUGAACCCACAUGGGAUUAGCUUGUAGGUAAGGUAACGGCUUACCUAGGCGACGAUCCCUAGCUGGUCUGAGAGGAUGAUCAGCCACACUGGGACUGAGACACGGCCCAG